AAGAACACAUUAGAGAAACAUAUAAAGAACACAGUAGAGAAACAUAUAAGUGACACAGUAGAGAACAUAUAAAGAACACAAGAAAAGAAAAUCCCUACAUCGGAAAAAUAUAAAGUUUUGAAAUCAUAAAUUUUUGAAAGAAAUAUCAAAAUUAUUUAAAAGUCUAGGGAAAACACGGAUCUAGAACAGAUCUAAAGGAAAUAGAAGAACCUCAAAAUCUAGGGUUUUAGAAGAACCCAAAUAGUGAGAAAGGCUUGGAUAGAUUUAAGUAGGAGGGGUCGAAGCCAAGCUUGAAACAGACAUGGCUUGCCGGAUGAAGGCCGGAGAUGGCUAUAAAACUUGAAUCAACAAGGUCUGGAUGAAGAUUCUUCGUCGUCAGACCAUGAAACCUCAGCAACCAAACGUAUAUGCACCAUGGAAGGCUGGUAUAUGAUGAGACCACCAUAAAUUCAAGCUAGGAGGUGGCCAGACAAGGUGAGUAAAAAUCAUCGGAGCGGAGGGAAAAUGGGAAAGGUUCUAGAGAGAACCAGAGAUAAGAGAGAUAGAG
RNAcentral lists this long non-coding RNA (547 nucleotides) under Nicotiana benthamiana. RNAcentral describes it as "long non-coding RNA (NBEN_LNC033300)". The record is from RNAcentral. Lineage: Eukaryota; Viridiplantae; Streptophyta; Magnoliopsida; Solanales; Solanaceae.